This 637-nucleotide ribosomal RNA is filed under the name uncultured bacterium. RNAcentral's name for it is "bacterial SSU rRNA". It matches the Rfam family "Bacterial small subunit ribosomal RNA", at positions 59 to 691 of the family's 1533-position model. The record is from RNAcentral.
CAGUCGAGCGGUAGAGAGGUGCUUGCACCUCUUGAGAGCGGCGGACGCGUGAGUAAAGCCUAGGAAUCUGCCUGGUAGUGGGGGAUAACGCUCGGAAACGGACGCUAAUACCGCAUACGUCCUACGGGAGAAAGCAGGGGACCUUCGGGCCUUGCGCUAUCAGAUGAGCCUAGGUCGGAUUAGCUAGUUGGUGAGGUAAUGGCUCACCAAGGCGACGAUCCGUAACUGGUCUGAGAGGAUGAUCAGUCACACUGGAACUGAGACACGGUCCAGACUCCUACGGGAGGCAGCAGUGGGGAAUAUUGGACAAUGGGCGAAAGCCUGAUCCAGCCAUGCCGCGUGUGUGAAGAAGGUCUUCGGAUUGUAAAGCACUUUAAGUUGGGAGGAAGGGCAUUAACCUAAUACGUUAGUGUUUUGACGUUACCGACAGAAUAAGCACCGGCUAACUCUGUGCCAGCAGCCGCGGUAAUACAGAGGGUGCAAGCGUUAAUCGGAAUUACUGGGCGUAAAGCGCGCGUAGGUGGUUCGUUAAGUUGGAUGUGAAAUCCCCGGGCUCAACCUGGGAACUGCAUUCAAAACUGUCGAGCUAGAGUAUGGUAGAGGGUGGUGGAAUUUCCUGUGUAGCGGUGAAAUGCGU